AUCGUCAUCGUCAUCAUCCAUCGUCGUAGUAGUCAUAGUCGUAAUACUCGUAGUACCUCGUAGUAGUCGUCGAACUUCGUGUGUCAGUGUUAUUAAUAUUACGGAAAAAAAGAGAGAGAGAGAGAGAAAAGAAAAAAAAAAAAAGGGAAAAGGAAGAAAAAUGAAGAAGGAAAAAAAAAAAUAUGCGGCGAAGAUCCGCCGAUUAUAAUUAUUUUCAAUAUCGUGGCAAUUCGACACGUCGAGUUUAAUUGGCGCAAUUAAACGCGGCCAAGACCUAUUAUCGGCGUCUUUAAAGUCUGAUCUACGUGAGAAAAAGCGUUCACAUGUUAUAGGCUACAUAAAUUGGGUCAAGUUGAUCGGCAAGAAAUCCAUCGCGCAAAUGCAUCCGUUGUUUCUCACCUCUCGAGUUGAUUGGAACUACACCAGGAUCAACUACUACAACGACGCCUACUACCAAAUGAUGUUCUUCCAAAACAGCACUAGUAACUAGUGCCACUAAAUCGAGAGCUUCACUUUCACUUCCAUCGAGCUCGACCACUACUACUAACAGAUUAGUCCACGUAAACACGGCGCUGUGAAAACAAAUUAACAUUUAUUUAUUUGUUUGUUUGUUUAUACGAGCUUCUUAGUGAUAAUAAUAAUGGAACGUACGAGGUAGAAAAAUAUAUAUAAAAAAAAAAAAAAAAAAAAA
This is a long non-coding RNA of Vespa mandarinia (Asian giant hornet), 691 nucleotides long. RefSeq lists it as uncharacterized. NCBI's taxonomy places the organism in Eukaryota, Metazoa, Arthropoda, Insecta, Hymenoptera, Vespidae. The record is from RefSeq and is a predicted model, not a curated record.